This is a long non-coding RNA of Odontomachus brunneus, 1719 nucleotides long. RefSeq lists it as uncharacterized. The transcript is spliced from 3 exons. Lineage: Eukaryota; Metazoa; Arthropoda; Insecta; Hymenoptera; Formicidae. The record is from RefSeq and is a predicted model, not a curated record.
AGCGGAUCGAGAUAUGAAGUAAAACUCGUUUGUGGAGUAAUUGAGCGACGCCCGAGUGGAGCAAAACAAUCAGCGAUAAAGGCAAGGUCGCGCGUGUUAAUCGUCAACCGUCGCUCUCCGACAACAAACGUCGCGGCGGAAAGCUGAUUAAAUCGUAUUUACGCGAGUGUCAGUGCCACAUAUUGAAUAUCUGGGGCGCUACGACGCAGUAGCUGGAAACCAGGAUGCAGGAAGCAGAACACCGCGACAGGAAUACAUCAUGUACUUGCAGUAUGAUGCGUCAAUUGCUUAUUAUGCAGGAUCUAUUGAAAUUAAGAUGUUUGACGAUCAAGGAUAGCUAGGUCAGGGUUCCCGAGGACAGGAUCGACAGAAAUUAUUAUCAACGGGACAAGUAUUAAACGUUUCGUGGUGCCGAUGUCGUCAGCAACGAGUCGAACGACGACGUGACGACCAAGAACGCGCGGAGUGAACGGGCGAAGAAAAAUGCGGUUAUCAUGGCUGCAGAGGGGUAAUAAUCUUCCACGGUAUCAUCGCCGCCUAUAUGUGUAUCCACGGGUAACGUAUGUCAUGUACAAGAGGAGUCAGAUUCCGCACGAAGGAAAGAUUUAUUAACGAGAACUACAACGCGGGACGCUGAUAAAUUAUCGAUAAAAAAGGAACUACGCGUGACUCGGAUGUCUUCGUGACAACCCUUUCAUUCUUCCUGAUCCACCGUUAUUAUGGGUUCUCCACUUCAGAAUAAACACGCGACUUUGCGGUGAAACGCGUAUUAACACGGUCAACAUGGUCAAUAAUAACAUGGUUAAUAGCAUUAUCGACAGCGUACCGUGCGAUUAAUUUGUAUCUAUUUUUCAUUGUUUCUGGUGUUUCUAUCGCAGCUUAAUGUUAAAUUGUUCACUAUUCAAUGUUUGUACGUAGAUUUGCCCGUGAAAUUUAUUUUUGGACGUUUUAUUUUGUCAGUUUUAGAUAGCAAUUUUGACAAGGCAUUUAAAAAAAAAGUAAACAGAAAUAUAUAUAUAUAUAUAUAUAAAUAUAUAUAUAAAUAUAUAUAUAUAUAUAUAUAUAUAUAUAAAUACUAAACAUUCAGCCAUGUGGCAUGCCAUUCCCAUGAACCGUAUCACAACGUAAUAUGUGCAACACAGAGCAUGUGGAACAUUUAAAGAUUUUGCGCAACAUAGUUUGAAAAUUUAUUUAAAUAAAAUUUUAUUUUUGAAAAAAAACCGGACAGAGUUGUAUUUUUAUUCUGAAUUUUAUACGAUCAAAUACAUAGUUUCUCUUGAAAAUUAUGAAAUAUUUCGCAAUAUAUUUGUCGCGAACAGGACAUAAAUGGAAAAAUGAAAAAAAAUAGGGUAGUCCAUUGAAAUUUAUUUUCUUUUCGCAGUCUAUAUUAUAUUAUACCGUUCACUUGGAAAAAAUGUCAAUCAGCCAACCUUUGCAAAGACUCGCGCAAGUAGGUAGAUAUAAAAAAAAGAACAAUAUUUUUCGUAUAGAGAACGAUUUUCUCUAUCCUUUUCUUAUAAAUCUUUAAUUAAAUACAUUUAACUAAUUACAUAAUUCCUUUUUUACACCUCAAUCAAUUUAUUCCCGAUGUAAAACACGUCUCAUUAAAUCGAGUAAAUACGCUUCCGUUGUUUUAUCGGUGCGUAUAAAAAUUACUUAGUAAAAAUCUGUUGACGUUUGACCACUCGUCGAAAAAAACCAACGUAGCCUUGACAUUUU